This 1439-nucleotide ribosomal RNA is filed under the name uncultured marine bacterium. Its description in RNAcentral is "16S ribosomal RNA". It matches the Rfam family "Bacterial small subunit ribosomal RNA". The record is from RNAcentral.
GAGUUUGAUCAUGGCUCAGAACGUACGCUGGCGGCACGCCUAACACAUGCAAGUCGAACGAAGUAGCAAUACUUAGUGGCAGACGGGUGAGUAACAUGUAGGUAUCUGCCCUUUGGCCUGGAAUAACACGAGGAAACUUGUGCUAAUACCGGAUAAGUCUUUACGGAGAAAGCUUUAUGCACCAUUGGAUGAGCCUGCACUUGAUUAGUUUGUUGGUGGGGUAAUGGCCUACCAAGACUGUGAUCAAUAGCUGAUUUGAGAGGAUGAUCAGCCACAUUGGGACUGAGACACGGCCCAAACUCCUACGGGAGGCAGCAGUGGGGAAUCUUGCACAAUGGAGGAAACUCUGAUGCAGCGAUGCCGCGUGAGUGAAGAAGGCCCUUGGGUUGUAAAGCUCUUUCGUCGGGGAAGAAAAUGACUGUACCCGAAUAAGAAGGUCCGGCUAACUUCGUGCCAGCAGCCGCGGUAAUACAGAGGAUGCAAGCGUUAUCCGGAAUCACUGGGCAUAAAGCGUCUGUAGGUGGUUUGGUAAGUCUGCUGUUAAAGACUGGGGCUCAACCCCAGAAAAGCAGUGGAAACUGCUAGACUUGAGUGUGGUAGAGGUAGAGGGAAUUCCUAGUGUAGCGGCGAAAUGCGUAGAUAUUAGGAAGAACACCAAUGGCGAAGGCACUCUACUGGGCCAUAACUGACACUGAGAGACGACAGCUAGGGGAGCAAAUGGGAUUAGAUACCCCAGUAGUCCUAGCCGUAAACGAUGGAUACUAGAUGUUGCACGUAUUAACCCGUGCAGUAUCGUAGCUAAGGCGUUAAGUAUCCCGCCUGGGAAGUACGCUCGCAAGAGUGAAACUCAAAGGAAUUGACGGGGGCCCGCACAAGCGGUGGAGUAUGUGGUUUAAUUCGAAGAUACGCGCAGAACCUUACCAACACUUGACAUGUUCGUCGCGACUCUAAGAGAUUAGAGUUUUCGGUUCGGCCGGACGAAACACAGGUGCUGCAUGGCUGUCGUCAGCUCGUGUCGUGAGAUGUUGGGUUAAGUCCCGCAACGAGCGCAACCCUCACUUUUAGUUGCCAUCAUUAAGUUGGGCACUCUGAAAGAACUGCCAGUGAUAAGCUGGAGGAAGGUGGGGAUGACGUCAAGUCCUCAUGGCCCUUACGUGUUGGGCUACACACGUGCUACAAUGGCAUCUACAACAGGAAGCAAAACGGCAACGUUAAGCAAAUCCCGAAAAGAUGCCUCAGUUCGGAUUGCACUCUGCAACUCGAGUGCAUGAAGCUGGAAUUACUAGUAAUCGUGGAUCAGCGUGCCACGGUGAAUGCGUUCCCGGGUCUUGUACACACCGCCCGUCACACCAUGGGAGUUGGUUCUACCUUAAGGCAAGGUUUUAAACCCUUGACCACGGUAUAGUCAGCGACUGGGGUGAAGUCGUAACAAGGUAACC